GCGCCAGUAGUGCAAGCAGCACGCCCGCCUUCCUGGCGGGAGGUCUUGGUUCGAGUCCGGGCUGGCGCU
Molecule: transfer RNA, 69 nt
Filed under: Actinacidiphila rubida
Lineage: Bacteria; Bacillati; Actinomycetota; Actinomycetes; Kitasatosporales; Streptomycetaceae
Also listed under: 2 other names
Description: Streptomyces rubidus tRNA
Rfam family: tRNA
About the family: Transfer RNA (tRNA) molecules are approximately 80 nucleotides in length. Their secondary structure includes four short double-helical elements and three loops (D, anti-codon, and T loops).
Source: Rfam by way of RNAcentral